RNAcentral lists this transfer RNA (60 nucleotides) under Gordius sp. VVA-2019. RNAcentral describes it as "tRNA-Phe". Lineage: Eukaryota; Metazoa; Nematomorpha; Gordioida; Gordea; Gordiidae. The record is from RNAcentral.
UAGCUUAUAUUUAAAGCAUUGUUUUGAAGCAACAAAGAAUUACACAAAUCAAAUUAUUAA